Long non-coding RNA from Oreochromis niloticus (Nile tilapia), 389 nucleotides. RefSeq lists it as uncharacterized. The transcript has 2 exons. The record is from RefSeq and is a predicted model, not a curated record. NCBI's taxonomy places the organism in Eukaryota, Metazoa, Chordata, Actinopteri, Cichliformes, Cichlidae.
CUUCCUGUGUGGUCCCUUUCACAUUAAAAGCCCUCCCUGACUGUAAAGACUGGACUGUGCUGCAGCUGGUGGAAACAGUGUGUAGGUCUACAAAGAGUCGCACUUCCUGCUGUGGUUCAGAUGUUCAGCGUGUUGCUUUGUUUCUCACAUGUUGGCUCCACGGUCUCUGCUGCUGUGGGCUGAUGUCAUGCAGCAAUACAGCUGCUGAACAUCUGGCCUUGUUUUGCUCCAUCAGCAGAUAUUUGACUUUUAGAUCACAUGAUAUUUGCAUGCAACCUUCAAACACGUGUGGAGAAUUCAUUAUUUCUUUGAGAGAUUUUUUAGUAAAUAACAGAAAAAAGAAAGUAAGAGAAAAGCAAAACUUUAAUUCUAUAAAAGAGUAAAAAUUC